Lathyrus oleraceus (garden pea) is the source of this 335-nucleotide long non-coding RNA. RefSeq lists it as uncharacterized. Lineage: Eukaryota; Viridiplantae; Streptophyta; Magnoliopsida; Fabales; Fabaceae. The record is from RefSeq and is a predicted model, not a curated record. The transcript has 3 exons.
UCAGAAGCUCCAGCGUCUUCUGCACUCACUUUUGGAUGAAGAUGAUUGACCUGCGGAUUAUGAUUCCACAUCCUGCAAUCCAAAAAUCCCGAUCCAAAGGUUCAGUGGAAACCCGUCCGCCCUCACGACAUGUCUCAGGAACAGACCCGUCAAAUGAUCUACAAGAAAGAUACAAUAACACUUCGGAGGGUUUGCAUUGAUUCACCACUACUUGUAAAAUUUAUAGGUUUCUCAAUGGCUCCCCCAAUUAUGCCCCGGAGUUUAACAGAAUGGAUUUUGAGUAUGACAUGUUCUUGGAAUGCUACAUCCUUAGAACCUGUACCGUGCAACCGGUC